AACUUUCGGCAAUGGAUCUCUUGGCUCUCGCAUCGAUGAAGAACGCAGCGAAAUGCGAUACGUAAUGUGAAUUGCAGAAUUCUGUGAAUCAUCGAAUCUUUGAACGCACCUUGCGCCUCUUGGUAUUCCGAGGGGCAUGCCUGUUUGAGUGUCAUUGAAUCCUCAAAAGAAAAGCUUAACUGUUUCUCUUUUGGAAUUGGAGUGUGCUGGCCUUUUGUUAGAAAGCCUGGCUCCUCUGAAAUACAUUAGCGAUGUGACAUCCGCGUGGCACCACGCUUCUCUGGCAUUGAUAGCAUCUUCAUGCCUGAGCGUUUUUGUGCAGCUGUGGAAAGCUUUGCUCGCUCAUAACCUGAUGGGUCAGCCCAUCCUUUGACCAAUUUAACCUCAAAUCAGGUAGGAUUACCCGCUGAACUUAAGCAUAUCAAUAAGCGGAGGCU
This 437-nucleotide unclassified non-coding RNA is filed under the name uncultured Hygrocybe. RNAcentral describes it as "sequence contains ITS2". The stretch from base 1 to 154 matches the Rfam family "5.8S ribosomal RNA". Lineage: Eukaryota; Fungi; Basidiomycota; Agaricomycetes; Agaricales; Hygrophoraceae. The record is from RNAcentral.